UGAUUUACGCCAGCUGAGGAUAUGGCCCUUAGAACUGACAAGAAAUGGCUAUGCCUACUAAUUACUGAAGCUGCUAAUGUAUUUCAGCUGGUACUAACUGGUUUUAUGUCACUGGAAAAUUACAGAAGUGUAGGUCAGACACCAACCUGUGUGUGCAGUUUUUUUGGUCAAAUGUCCAGAAAAGUAGGGCUGCAUUUUGUGUGAUGACUGUUCUUGUUGGCAUUAAACCCUGAUCAGACUUCUCACUAACUUGGGCAUCCUCCAUACAGUUUGCAGUUUCUUCUUCCCAGAUUGAGGCAGGAUGAAAAGCUGAUUAUUUGGUUAGCCUUCUGGCAUAGUGUGGUGAUGCAUUUAGGAUGCUUUUGACACUAUUACAAUUUCAGGUGGUCACUCAGGAAGAAGCAGCUGGGAUUCAAAUCAUCACUGAAGGUAAAAGCCCUCACAGACAUGAGGACACUGAAGUCCUUCAGAGCAUGGCCAUUGGAAAUGCUGGUCACCAUUUCAGCAGCUCUAAAACUGGAUGUUGCAGGUGUCUCACGUUGACAGCUGCAAUUUUAGUGAUGCUGUGCAGCACAGGAUGUCCACUCUCAUUACGUUUCAAGGCACAGGAAAUGCAACUCAGUAUCUGAAUGCAUAAGAAGGAUGGAGCCUUUUAAAGUUCAAGGAUUCAAGAAGCCUGUUGACACCGUACAUGCUGGUAUAUAAAAAUAAAUUACAGACUUUAAUAUUUACGUGUGCUGGCUUCCAACCCCCCAAAAGCUUGCACUGAGGAGGUUCACAAAUGGGAACUGAAGAACUGCCAGGCACUUGGAUCCUUAUUGUGAAGACUGACUGAAGAGAAGCAUGCCAAACACAAGGUGCUGCCUAUAAACCUUUGAAUCAGAAUGCGUAACUACACAAAUGAUAAACAAAAUAAAAAUAUGCUGAGAAAUA
This is a long non-coding RNA of Passer domesticus (house sparrow), 933 nucleotides long. RefSeq lists it as uncharacterized. Lineage: Eukaryota; Metazoa; Chordata; Aves; Passeriformes; Passeridae. The transcript is spliced from 4 exons. The record is from RefSeq and is a predicted model, not a curated record.